AAAAGGUAAGUCAAUAAUGAACCCUAAAUGUACAUACAUACAUACGAGAAAAUUAGUCUGUUAUGGCUUCAGUUUCUUAAGUAAUUACUGUAAUCACUGAAUUUUGUCUGGCUCGAUUUCGUGUUUUAAAAAAAAAAAAAAAAUUCAAAAAAAAAUACAAAAAAUAGAAAAUUACAUUUUGGCUCCUAAACUUUUUGAAAUUUCAUUUUGACCCCUAAAUUUUCCUAAAAUUAUAUUUUGACCCCUAAACUUUUCCGAAAUUACAUUUUGACCCAUAAACUUUUUUAAAUUACAUUAUGACCCCUAAAUUUUCUCGAAAUUAUGUUUUGGCCUCAGAAGUGUUGCUACGUUUGCAAUCUGGUCCUUCUAGCAGCCAAACGCGAUUUGCGCACCUACUCCCCGAUUUUCCGGCCGCCGGCCUAAGGCAUGGCCUCCCUCCUCCCUAGCCACCUGCUCCCUGCAAAAAGAAGAGGAAAAACAUCUGUAAAAAGGGGUUUUAACCCCAAAAAUCGGGACACCCCCCGACGAAGCAAAAAAUUUUCAAGAAAAAAAUAAAAAAAGAGAGAGCAUUUCAAAAAAAAAAAAGAAAAGAGGGGGAAAGAGAAAGAGAAGGAGAAAAGAGGGAGCUCCGACGGUGGCGGUACGAACGGCGGCAAGUGGCGGCGGUGCAACUAAGGCGUGAAGAGGAAGGAGGAAGAAGAAGAGGAAGAAGAAAGGAAAGAAAAAAAAAAAGAUUUUUAACACAAUCAGGUCGACCCGACCCGACACGAUCCGACCCGCGACUCGCGACCCAAGAAACCCAGCAGCAGCCCCAGCCCCCCAAAAAAAUUAAGCAAAAAAAAGAAAGAAAAAGAGCAGAAAAAAAAGGAAGAAGCAGGCCCAUUUCCAGCAGCCCAACAGCAGGCCCCAGUCCAACAGCCAGCCUGUCCAGCAGCAGCCCAGCAGUGCAGCGGCCCAAACCAGCGCAGCCCAACAGCAGCCCACAGCAGGCAGGCCAGCAGAAAAAAAAAGAAAAAGAAAAGAAAAAAGAGAAAAAAGAAAAAGGAAAAAAAGGAGGAGCUCGAGCCGUGUAGCC
Molecule: long non-coding RNA, 1075 nt
Filed under: Gossypium raimondii (Peruvian cotton)
Lineage: Eukaryota; Viridiplantae; Streptophyta; Magnoliopsida; Malvales; Malvaceae
Description: long non-coding RNA (GRAI_LNC010868)
Source: RNAcentral